UCAGAGAUGGGAAUCGAUUUCAUUUAGAAUUGGAGAAGGAGACACCUUCUUGUACUCAUGAUAAAAAAGAGGGCUCCGUCGCUGGGCUCUAUAUCCCUCCUCCUACGCUCAGAAUCUGAAAUUGCUCCCUUGUGCGCAGGAAUAGGGUUCAAUUUCCCAUUAUGGCUCUUGAUCGAUUAGUCAGUGUGCAAGAACGGAAAGCUGGUGCAACUCCUCUACUGCCUUAGUUGACUGCCAAGUCCUGUUGCCAACUUGUGGUGGUGCAAGGCUUUUGCUGUGGUGGAAGAAGGAAAGAGAAGCAGAAUAGAAAGCUUCUUGUGUGAUUUGUAUCACUGAGUUUGAAGGAAGUAAAGAUGGCAUUUUGUGCAGAUUCUUUUAGCAUCGGAACUUGGCCGAUCAUGAACGACCUUAUGUUCCAGUGCUAGAAAUUGCAGCAGCCAAGUGCGUUAAGAUUCCGCCCGUUCGUGAACGACCAUGUACGUCUCAAAGCAGGAGCAGAUCACAUGAAGGUUGGCCGUUCAUGAACGACCAUGUAUUUCUUGGUAGCUUAAGAGAGACUCAACAAAAGAAAGAAGGUUGUUCGUGAACAGCGUAUCUUUUGUUGACAGCAAGCAUUCUGGACAAUAUAUCUCCCUGUUAAAGAUGACAAGUACAGCAAGGAUGCAUUGUAUACUUGAGCUUCACCUUUGAAUUGUUGACGGAAGGACCUGUUUGGCUCCAAAACCAAUAUGGGUGCAAACUGUCUCUUUUGAGCGUGUGCGCAGGCAUGCCAGCACUGUGGGGUGCAGUCAUCGAAGAAUCCCUUGACCUGACUUCUUGA
Rosa chinensis is the source of this 820-nucleotide long non-coding RNA. RefSeq lists it as uncharacterized. NCBI's taxonomy places the organism in Eukaryota, Viridiplantae, Streptophyta, Magnoliopsida, Rosales, Rosaceae. The transcript is spliced from 3 exons. The record is from RefSeq and is a predicted model, not a curated record.